ACGAACGCUGGCGGCGUGCUUAACCCCUGCAAGUCGAACGGAAAGGCCCUGCUUUUGUGGGGUGCUCGAGUGGCGAACGGGUGAGUAACACGUGAGUAACCUGCCCUUGACUUUGGGAUAACUUCAGGAAACUGGGGCUAAUACCGGAUAGGAGCUCCUGCUGCAUGGUGGGGGUUGGAAAGUUUCGGCGGUUGGGGAUGGACUCGCGGCUUAUCAGCUUGUUGGUGGGGUAGUGGCUUACCAAGGCUUUGACGGGUAGCCGGCCUGAGAGGGUGACCGGCCGCAUUGGGACUGAGAUACGGCCCAGACUCCUACGGGAGGCAGCAGUGGGGAAUAUUGCACAAUGGGCGGAAGCCUGAUGCAGCAACGCCGCGUGCGGGAUGACGGCCUUCGGGUUGUAAACCGCUUUCGCCUGUGACGAAGCGUGAGUGGCGGUAAUGGGUAAAGAAGCACCGGCUAACUACGUG
This 467-nucleotide ribosomal RNA is filed under the name uncultured bacterium. RNAcentral describes it as "partial 16S ribosomal RNA". It matches the Rfam family "Bacterial small subunit ribosomal RNA", at positions 29 to 507 of the family's 1533-position model. The record is from RNAcentral.